GAUGAACGCUGGCGGCGUGCCUAAUACAUGCAAGUCGAGCGAACAGACGAGGAGCUUGCUCCUCUGACGUUAGCGGCGGACGGGUGAGUAACACGUGGAUAACCUACCUAUAAGACUGGGAUAACUUCGGGAAACCGGAGAUAAUACCGGAUAAUAUAUUGAACCGCAUGGUUCAAUAGUGAAAGACGGUUUUGCUGUCACUUAUAGAUGGAUCCGCGCCGCAUUAGCUAGUUGGUAAGGUAACGGCUUACCAAGGAAACGAUGCGUAGCCGACCUGAGAGGAUGAUCGGCCACACUGGAACUGAGACACGGUCCAGACUCCUACGGGAGGCAGCAGUAGGGAAUCUUCCGCAAAGGGCGAAAGCCUGACGGAGCCACGCCGCGUGAGUGAUGAAGGUCUUCGGAUCGUAAAACUCUGUUAUUAGGGAAGAACAAAUGUGUAAGUAACUAUGCACGUCUUGACGGUACCUAAUCAGAAAGCCACGGCUAACUACGUG
RNAcentral lists this ribosomal RNA (497 nucleotides) under uncultured bacterium. Its description in RNAcentral is "partial 16S ribosomal RNA". It matches the Rfam family "Bacterial small subunit ribosomal RNA", at positions 28 to 507 of the family's 1533-position model. The record is from RNAcentral.